This 253-nucleotide ribosomal RNA is filed under the name uncultured bacterium. RNAcentral describes it as "partial 16S ribosomal RNA". It matches the Rfam family "Bacterial small subunit ribosomal RNA", at positions 524 to 776 of the family's 1533-position model. The record is from RNAcentral.
UACGAAGGGGGCUAGCGUUGCUCGGAAUGACUGGGCGUAAAGCGCACGUAGGCGGCUUUGUAAGUUAGAGGUGAAAGCCUGGAGCUCAACUCCAGAAUUGCCUUUAAGACUGCAUCGCUUGAAUCCAGGAGAGGUGAGUGGAAUUCCGAGUGUAGAGGUGAAAUUCGUAGAUAUUCGGAAGAACACCAGUGGCGAAGGCGGCUCACUGGACUGGUAUUGACGCUGAGGUGCGAAAGCGUGGGGAGCAAACAGG